GAGGUCUGGUCGGAUCCACAUCACAGGGCCCCAAAAUUUGGGGGCCCAAAAAUAAUUUAAACACUGCUGGGCUAAAACUUAAAAUAAAAUAAAAAAAACUUCCCUUUCCCAUACUUCUCCCUUCCCCGUAACUUCUUGAAACAAUGAAACAAGGAAACCAAAAAUAACUCUUCAAAUUCUCUCUCCUUCCCAUGGUGAUUUGACUGAUUUCAAAAAAUUAGUCAAUUACAACCUUCAUCAACUACUCAACGGUUCAAUCUUCGACCUACAUUCCUUUUCUCGUUCCUUUGAGGCUUUGAAUCUCACUUUCUCUCUCUUCCGUUCAAUGCUCUUUACCAGGUAAUUUUCUUAUGCUAAAACCUCAAGAUUUGAUUGUUUUUAUGUUAUUGACUUGUUGCUCUUAAUUGUAAUUCUUCUAUUUCAAUUUUCGAUUAAAUUAGGGUUUUGAAAUCGAAUUCUUCCCAGAAAAUUUGUCGAAGUUCGAUGGCAAGGCGGUGUAUUUCGAUGGAUUGGAACUCCGAGUAGAAACGAACAAGGUGGAAUUUGGUCAAUUAAGUAGGGUUUGUUGAAGAUUUGGGUUUAAUUUUAUUGAUUUGAUUGUUGUUCAUGUAUGUGGAAUUUGUUCAUUUUAAUUGAAAAUUGAAGCGUGUAGUAUGUAAAUUUUGAAUUAAUAUUGUUCAUCUUUAUUUUCCUA
Long non-coding RNA from Spinacia oleracea (spinach), 694 nucleotides. RefSeq lists it as uncharacterized. NCBI's taxonomy places the organism in Eukaryota, Viridiplantae, Streptophyta, Magnoliopsida, Caryophyllales, Amaranthaceae. The transcript is spliced from 2 exons. The record is from RefSeq and is a predicted model, not a curated record.